This 514-nucleotide ribosomal RNA is filed under the name uncultured bacterium. RNAcentral describes it as "bacterial SSU rRNA". It matches the Rfam family "Bacterial small subunit ribosomal RNA", at positions 100 to 610 of the family's 1533-position model. The record is from RNAcentral.
GGACGGGUGAGGAACGCGUAGGAAUCGGCCCACGAGUGGGGGACAACCUGGGGAAACUCAGGCUAAUACCGCAUGAGCUCGGGAGAGGAAAGCGGGGGACCUUCGGGCCUCGCGCUGGUGGACGAGCCUACGUCCGAUUAGCUGGUUGGUGGGGUAAAGGCCCACCAAGGCGACGAUCGGUAGCGGGUCUGAGAGGACGACCCGCCACACUGGGACUGAGACACGGCCCAGACUCCUACGGGAGGCAGCAGUGGGGAAUAUUGGACAAUGGGCGCAAGCCUGAUCCAGCAAUGCCGCGUGGGUGAAGACGGCCUGCGGGUUGUAAAGCCCUUUAGGCGGGGAGGAACGACCGGGUGCCAACACCAUCUGGAAGUGACGUUACCCGCGGAAUAAGCACCGGCUAACUCCGUGCCAGCAGCCGCGGUAAUACGGAGGGUGCGAGCGUUAAUCGGAAUUACUGGGCGUAAAGCGUGCGUAGGCGGAUGGGUCAGUCAGCCGUGAAAGCCCCGGGCUC